RNAcentral lists this ribosomal RNA (448 nucleotides) under uncultured bacterium. RNAcentral's name for it is "SSU rRNA". It matches the Rfam family "Bacterial small subunit ribosomal RNA", at positions 26 to 518 of the family's 1533-position model. The record is from RNAcentral.
AGAGCGAACGCUGGCGGCAGGCCUAACACAUGCAAGUCGAGCGCCCGUAGCAAUACGGGAGCGGCAGACGGGAUAGUAACACGUGGGAACGCGCCCUUCGGUUCGGAAUAACUCAGGGAAACUUGAGCUAAUACCGGAUACGCCCCUACGGGGAAAGAUUUAUUGCCGAAGGAACGGCCCGCGUCCGAUUAGCUAGUUGGUGAGGUAAUGGCUCACCAAGGCGACGAUCGGUAGCUGGUCUGAGAGGAUGACCAGCAUCACUGGGACUGAGACACGGCCCAGACUCCUACGGGAGGCAGCAGUGGGGAAUAUUGGACAAUGGGCGCAAGCCUGAUCCAGCCAUGCCGCGUGGAUGAUGAAGGCCUUAGGGUUGUAAAGUCCUUUUAACGGGGAAGAUAAUGACGGUACCCGUAGAAUAAGCCCCGGCUAACUUCGCGCCAGCAGCCGC